GAAGUAGUCUCUGCACAAUUAAGGUGACUGUGGUGGCAGCCCAGAAGCGUAAGUUUCUGUAGCCUGCUCUGAAAUUACACCUAGUCACAGUGGUGAGGUAGAGAGGAAUUUCACACUGUUUUACAUUGCCUGUGAUUUCAGAGCUUUCUUCUGACCAACCCAUGCAAGUUACUUAGACAGAAGUUUCCUUCUAUGACUCUUUAAGUUAUGCAGACAUUUCAGUCUAAGAAGCACUGGAUGAGGCUCCAGAGGCAGCAGUUGAAAGGAAUAGUCAGAGGAGCACUGAAAGAACAUGCCGUCAGCAAAUAUGGAGAUCCAACCUAGAUACUUGUAGCCGGCAAAUUUGUCUGCCUUCUGUAGACACUCACAUAGCUCCAGUCAGAGUAAAUUGUUUUACGUAUUUUUUCCUCAAAAGAAUCUUUUGAAGAAAAAUAUGCUAUCUUCUCUGAUUGUUUCUUAUAAACAGCCCGUUAUCAGAGAUGGGGCAGAAGGAAGGGGUGUAAAACAAAUGUAUACAACUGCCAUUUCCACUCUCCUGUGGGCUCAGGGUCGGUGUUGGGUGGGCUUAGAGGCUCUGCGCAGCCUUGCUGUUGCCUUGGCAAAGAAGUCGGUAGCGGCUAUGCAAACUCAGAGUUUGGAGGCGCUUGGAAAAGUGUAGGUAUUCCUGUGCAUCACCAAGUACGCAUUGUCAAUGGAGUUCCCAUUUCUUCUCAUUCUAAGAAUUUCUGUAAGUCCAGGAAAUAAGCUGUACUUCAUUGCAGUUCAUAUCUGGAUUUUUUUCAUCCUAAAGAUUAAGAGAUAAAGCAUUUCUGCAA
Pygoscelis adeliae (Adelie penguin) is the source of this 815-nucleotide long non-coding RNA. RefSeq lists it as uncharacterized. NCBI's taxonomy places the organism in Eukaryota, Metazoa, Chordata, Aves, Sphenisciformes, Spheniscidae. The transcript is spliced from 3 exons. The record is from RefSeq and is a predicted model, not a curated record.